GCGGCCUAUCAGCUUGUUGGUGAGGUAAUGGCUCACCAAGGCAACGACGGGUAGCCGGCCUGAGAGGGCGACCGGCCACACUGGGACUGAGACACGGCCCAGACUCCUACGGGAGGCAGCAGUGGGGAAUAUUGGGCAAUGGAGGAAACUCUGACCCAGCGACGCCGCGUGCGGGAUGAAGGCCUUCGGGUUGUAAACCGCUUUCAGUAGGGAAGAAGCGAAAGUGACGGUACCUACAAAAGAAGCACCGGCUAACUAUGUGCCAGCAGCCGCGGUAAUACAUAGGGUGCAAGCGUUGUCCGGAAUUAUUGGGCGUAAAGAGCUCGUAGGUCGUUUGCUACGUCGGAUGUGAAAACCUGAGGCUCAACCUCAGGCCUGCAUUCGAUACGGGCAAACUAGAGUGUGGUAGGGGAGACUGGAAUUCCU
This 426-nucleotide ribosomal RNA is filed under the name uncultured Actinomycetes bacterium. RNAcentral describes it as "bacterial SSU rRNA". It matches the Rfam family "Bacterial small subunit ribosomal RNA", at positions 233 to 671 of the family's 1533-position model. Lineage: Bacteria; Bacillati; Actinomycetota; Actinomycetes. The record is from RNAcentral.